This 2469-nucleotide ribosomal RNA is filed under the name Triticum aestivum (bread wheat). Its description in RNAcentral is "partial small subunit ribosomal RNA". The record is from RNAcentral. Lineage: Eukaryota; Viridiplantae; Streptophyta; Magnoliopsida; Poales; Poaceae.
AUGGUUAGGAGUGUACCGAUUGGUGAGAAGCUCUUCAUAGGAGGAGACCUCAAUGGCCACGUGGGUACAUCUAACACAGGUUUUGAAAGGGCGCAUGGGGGCUUUGGCUAUGGCACCAGGAAUCAAGAAGGAGAAGAUGUCUUAAGCUUUGCUCUAGCCUACAACAUGAUUGUAGCUAACACCCUCUUUAGAAAGAGAGAAUCACAUCUGGUGACUUUUAGUAGUGGCCAACACUCUAGCCAGAUUGAUUUCAUCCUCUCGAGAAGAGAAGAUAGGCGUGCGUGCCUAGACUGUAAGGUGAUACCUGGGGAGAGUGUUGUACCCCAGCAUAAGCUGGUGGUUGCUGACUUCCGCUUUUGGAUUCGUGUCCAGCGGGAUAAGCGUGCCAAGGUCGCUAGAACGAAGUGGUGGAAGAUCAAGGGGGAGGUAGCUCAGGUGUUCAAGGAGAGGGUAUUUAAGGAGGGCCCUUGGGAGGAAGGAGGGGAUGCGGACAAUGUGUGGACGAAGAUGGCGACUUGCAUUCGUAAGGUGGCCUCGGAGGAGUUUGGAGUGUCCAGGGGAAGAAGAAGCGAAGAUAAGGAUACCUGGUGGUGGAAUGAUGAUGUCCAGAAGGCGCUUAAAAAGAAGAAAGAUUGCUUCAGACGCCUAUACCUGGAUAGGAGUGCAGACAACAUAGAGAAGUACAAGAUGGCGAAGAAGGCCGCAAAGCGAGCUGUUGGUGAAGCAAGGGGUCGGGCAUAUGAGGACCUCUACCAACGGUUAGGCACGAAGGAAGGUGAAAGGGACAUCUAUAAGAUGGCUAAGAUCCGGGAGAGGAAGACGAGGGAAAUUGGCCAAGUCAAAUGCAUCAAGGACGGAGCAGGCCAACUCUUGGUGAAGGACGAAGAGAUUAAGCAUAGAUGGCGGGAGUACUUCGACAAGCUGUUCAAUGGGGAGAAUGAGAGUUCUACCAUUGAACUGAAUGACUCCUUUGAUGAGACCAGCAUGCGUUUUGUGCGGCGCAUCCAGGAGUCUGAGGUGAAGGAGGCUUUAAAAAGGAUGAAAGGAGGCAAGGCGAUGGGCCCUGAUUGUAUCCCCAUUGAGGUGUGGAAAGGUCUCGGGGACAUAGCGAUAGUAUGGCUAACCAAGCUUUUCAACCUCAUUUUUCGGGCAAACAAGAUGCCAGAAGAAUGGAGACGGAGUAUAUUAGUACCAAUCUUCAAGAACAAGGGGGAUGUUCAGAGUUGUACUAAUUACCAUGGAAUUAAACUGAUGAGCCAUACAAUGAAGCUAUGGGAGAGAGUCAUUGAGCACCGCUUAAGAAGAAUGACAAGCGUGACCAAAAAUCAGUUUGGUUUCAUGCCUGGGAGGUCGACCAUGGAAGCCAUUUUCUUGGUACGACAACUUAUGAAGAGAUAUAGGGAGCAUAAGAAGGACUUGCAUAUGGUGUUCAUUGACUUGGAGAAGGCCUAUGAUAAGAUACCGCGGAAUGUCAUGUGGUGGGCCUUGGAGAAACACAAAGUUCCAGCAAAGUACAUUACCCUCAUCAAGGACAUGUACGAUAAUGUUGUGACAAGUGUUCGAACAAGUGAUGUCGACACCGAUGACUUCCUGAUUAAGAUAGGACUGCAUCAGGGGUCAGCUUUGAGCCCUUAUCUGUUUGCAUUGGUGAUGGAUGAGGUCACUAGGGAUAUACAAGGAGAUAUCCCAUGGUGUAUGCUCUUUGCGGAUGAUGUGGUGCUAGUUGACGAUAGUCGGACGGGGGUAAAUAGGAAGUUAGAGUUAUGGAGACAAACCUUGGAAUCGAAAGGGUUUAGGCUUAGUAGAACUAAAACCGAGUGCAUGAUGUGCGGUUUCAGUACUACUAGGUGUGAGGAGGAGGAGGUUAGCCUUGAUGGCCAGGUGGUACCUCGGAAGGACACCUUUCGGUAUUUGGGGUCAAUGUUGCAGGAGGAUGGGGGUAUUGAUGAAGAUGUGAACCAUCGAAUCAAAGCCGGAUGGAUGAAGUGGCGCCAAGCUUCUGGCAUUCUCUGUGACAAGAGAGUGUCACAAAAGCUAAAAGGCAAAUUCUACAGGACGGCGGUUCGACCCGCAAUGUUGUAUGGCGCGGAGUGUUGGCCGAUUAAAAGGCGACAUGUUCAACAGUUAGGUGUGGCGGAGAUGCGUAUGUUGAGAUGGAUGUGUGGCCACACGAGGAAGGAUCGAGUCCGGAAUGAUGAUAUACGAGAUAGAGUUGGGGUAGCACCAAUUGAGGAGAAGCUUGUCCAACAUCGUUUGAGAUGGUUUGGGCAUAUUCAGCGCAGGCCUCCAGAAGCUCCAGUGCAUAGCGGACGGCUAAAGCGUGCGAAGAAUGUCAAGAGAGGGCGGGGUCGACCGAUUUUGACAUGGAAGGAGUCCGUUAAGAGAGACCUGAAGGAUUGGAGUAUCGACAAAGAGCUAGCUCUGGACAGGGGUGCGUGGAAGCUUGCUAUUCAUGUGCCAGAGCCAUGA